GCGCGUGAACGGACAGGUGCUGGUGCAACUGCUGUGGGCGCUGAAGGGAGCAGCAGGGCCCGAGCCCGAGGCGCUGGCGGUGAGUAGCUCCACCGGCACCAGCAGGAGGCCAGUCUGGCUGCCCUGGCUGUGAGUCAGCCCACAGGUUCCCACUUGAGUCACGGAUAUCUUGCAGAAUAUCACAUGGGUGUCCUAGGCUUUGUCCUCGUCCUGUCUGCGGAGCACCCUCCUCCCUGGUACCUGAUACGGUCCUGGGCACUGCUCAAGCCUGGGGGACCACUUGCUCCACAGGCCACGCGGGCUCUUGGGGAGAUGUUGGCAGUGUCCGGCUGUGUGGGAGCCACGCGAGGAUUUUACCCACACCUGCUGCUUGCGCUGGUCACACAGCUACAUGAACUGGCUCACGGGGCACGCUCUCCUGACAGCCCUAAGGUUUGGGCCCCGUCCCACCGAGGGCCUCCACACAGCCAUGCCAGGUGAGGAGAGACACUGAGGUAAGUAGGAUGCUCAGCACCUCCUUGGCCCUCACUGUCCACUGAACUGCUGCCCCUACCUCCAGCUGUGCGGUGGAGGCCUUGAAGGCCCUGCUCACCGGGGAUGGUGGUCGCAUGGUGGUCACCUGCAUGGAGCAAGCGGGAGGCUGGAGGAGACUGGUGGGAGCCCACACACACCUAGAGGGUGUCCUGCUGUUGGCCAGGUGAGGAGGGGCCUCAGGACUGCACACCAGGAGGAGGCUUCCUGUUGGCCAGGUUCAAGGCAGGGGUAUAAGGAGGGUGGGUGAGGCCCCAAGUGGAGGGAGACCUCCCAUUUACCCCACCCUCAGUGCCAUGGUGGCACACGCCGACCACCACCUUCGAGGCCUCUUCGCAGAUUUGCUUCCCCGGCUACGCAGUGCCAACGACCCGCAGCGCCUCACCGCUAUGGCCUUUUUCACAGGGGUGAGUCCUCUUCCAGAAGGGCGGUGAGGGAUGAUGGUUACGUGAACCCUAAGGAGCACCGGCCUGCACGGGGACUGAGAGCCUUGCUGACUGUGUGUCCCUUCCCCAGCUGUUGCAAAGCCGGCCCACCGCACGGCUACUGCGGGAGGACGUCGUCUUAGAGCGGCUUCGAACCUGGCGGGGCGACUCUGAGCCCACAGUGCGUUGGCUGGGCCUGCUAGGCCUCGGCCACCUUGCCCUGAAUCAAGGGAAGGUGAGGACAGGGUCAGGGCGGGGCCAGGACAGGUCUGCCAGGGGUUGGCCACUAGUCCCUGUGUCUGCAGGUGCGGCAUGUGGGCACGCUGCUGCCGGCACUCUUGGGCGCACUGGGCGAGGGCGACGCGCGGCUCGUGGGUGCAGCGCUGGGUGCACUGCGGAGGCUACUGAUGC
This 1367-nucleotide long non-coding RNA is filed under the name Marmota monax (woodchuck). Lineage: Eukaryota; Metazoa; Chordata; Mammalia; Rodentia; Sciuridae. The record is from RNAcentral.